RNAcentral lists this small RNA (154 nucleotides) under Haemophilus parainfluenzae ATCC 33392. It matches the Rfam family "Bacterial large subunit ribosomal RNA", at positions 13 to 167 of the family's 2925-position model. The record is from RNAcentral. Lineage: Bacteria; Pseudomonadati; Pseudomonadota; Gammaproteobacteria; Pasteurellales; Pasteurellaceae.
AAGCGUACAAGGUGGAUGCCUUGGCAAUCAGAGGCGAGGAAGGACGUGCUAAUCUGCGAAAAGCUUGGAUGAGUCGAUAAGAGGCGUUUAAUCCAAGAUGUCCGAAUGGGGAAACCCAGUAGAUGAAGAAUCUACUAUCACUUAUUGAAUCCAU